AGGACGAACGCUGGCGGCGUGCUUAACACAUGCAAGUCGAGCGGAAAGGCCCUUCGGGGUACUCGAGCGGCGAACGGGUGAGUAACACGUGAGCAACCUGCCCCUGGCUCUGGGAUAGCCUCCGGAAACGGGGAUUAAUACCGGACAUUCUCCGCCUUCCGCAUGGUUGGCGGUGGAAAGUUUUUCGGCCGGGGAGGGGCUCGCGGCCUAUCAGCUUGUUGGCGGGGUAACGGCCCACCAAGGCGACGACGGGUAG
RNAcentral lists this ribosomal RNA (256 nucleotides) under uncultured bacterium. RNAcentral's name for it is "partial small subunit ribosomal RNA". It matches the Rfam family "Bacterial small subunit ribosomal RNA", at positions 26 to 286 of the family's 1533-position model. The record is from RNAcentral.